GGGGCUGUAGCUCAGAGGCAGAGCGCUUGCCUAGCAUGCAUGAGGCACUGGGUUCAAUCCUCAGCACCACA
This 71-nucleotide transfer RNA is filed under the name Marmota monax (woodchuck). RNAcentral describes it as "tRNA.Ala". It matches the Rfam family "tRNA". From Rfam's summary of the family: Transfer RNA (tRNA) molecules are approximately 80 nucleotides in length. Their secondary structure includes four short double-helical elements and three loops (D, anti-codon, and T loops). Lineage: Eukaryota; Metazoa; Chordata; Mammalia; Rodentia; Sciuridae. The record is from RNAcentral.